CCCAGACUCCUACGGGAGGCAGCAGUGGGGAAUAUUGCACAAUGGGGGAAACCCUGAUGCAGCGACGCCGCGUGAGUGAAGAAGUAUUUCGGUAUGUAAAGCUCUAUCAGCAGGGAAGAAAAAAGACGGUACCUGACUAAGAAGCCCCGGCUAACUACGUGCCAGCAGCCGCGGUAAUACGUAGGGGGCAAGCGUUAUCCGGAUUUACUGGGUGUAAAGGGAGCGUAGACGGUUAAUCAAGUCUGAAGUGAAAGCCCGCGGCUCAACUGCGGAACGGCUUUGGAAACUGAGUAACUGGAGUGCUGGAGGGGCAGGCGGAAUUCCUGGUGUAGCGGUGAAAUGCGUAGAUAUCAGGAGGAACACCGGUGGCGAAGGCGGCCUGCUGGACAGUAACUGACGUUGAGGCUCGAAAGCGUGGGGAGCAAACAGGAUUAGAUACCCCCGUAACA
RNAcentral lists this ribosomal RNA (449 nucleotides) under uncultured bacterium. RNAcentral's name for it is "bacterial SSU rRNA". It matches the Rfam family "Bacterial small subunit ribosomal RNA", at positions 330 to 795 of the family's 1533-position model. The record is from RNAcentral.